RNAcentral lists this RNase P RNA (416 nucleotides) under Lysobacter sp. RNAcentral describes it as "RNase P RNA component class A". It matches the Rfam family "Bacterial RNase P class A". Rfam says of the family: Ribonuclease P (RNase P) is a ubiquitous endoribonuclease, found in archaea, bacteria and eukarya as well as chloroplasts and mitochondria. Its best characterised activity is the generation of mature 5'-ends of tRNAs by cleaving the 5'-leader elements of precursor-tRNAs. The record is from RNAcentral. Lineage: Bacteria; Pseudomonadati; Pseudomonadota; Gammaproteobacteria; Lysobacterales; Lysobacteraceae.
GGAGUCGGCCAGGCAGUCGCGUCAUCGCAUUCUCCGGAAUGCCGAUGCCGAGGAAAGUCCGGGCUCCACAGGGCACGGUGCCAGGUAACCCCUGGGCGGCGCGAGCCGACGGAAAGUGCAACAGAAAGAUACCGCCAGCGGUUCUUCGGGGCGCUUGUAGGACGAAAGUCCGACAAAGUGUUCCAACUCGUCGAAAGGCGAGGGGAAUGCGGGCAAGGGUGAAAUGGUGCGGUAAGAGCGCACCGCGAGUCCGGCAACGGACCGGCACGGCAAACCCCACCGGGAGCAAGACCAAAUAGGGAGGCAAUGCCGCGGCCCGCGGUGUCUCCGGGUAGGUUGCUUGAGCGUAUCGGCGACGAUGCGCCUAGAGGAAUGACUGUCCACGACAAAACCCGGCUUAUCGGCCGGCUCCGUCA